Long non-coding RNA from Oncorhynchus tshawytscha (Chinook salmon), 338 nucleotides. NCBI's taxonomy places the organism in Eukaryota, Metazoa, Chordata, Actinopteri, Salmoniformes, Salmonidae. The record is from Ensembl.
GUUGAGUGCAGAUUUUCCCACAAGAGUCAGAUUGUCUCUUUUUGGUAAGAGAGGUGGUUUAACAUUCUUCACUUUUGUUUCACCGCCAUUCUCUUUCAGUUUCACUUGAAGCUCAACCACCCCAAUGGGGUUUUUUAAAUCUAUCUUAUGAUCUCUUUUAGCCAACACUUUCUGCAGAGCUGGGGAAAUGAUAAAAUACCAUCAUUAGAUCUAUGCCCAGAUCCCUGAGAAGAAUGUGACGUUUUUCCAGUAAGGAGAACGAGGGCAGUGAUGACAGCGGUCAGUGCAUCAAGGAAAAAGUGGCAGCACAGAUCCUGAAGAUGGCCAAGUGCACUGUG